RNAcentral lists this ribosomal RNA (444 nucleotides) under uncultured bacterium. RNAcentral's name for it is "bacterial SSU rRNA". It matches the Rfam family "Bacterial small subunit ribosomal RNA", at positions 355 to 795 of the family's 1533-position model. The record is from RNAcentral.
UGGGGAAUAUUGGACAAUGGGGGCAACCCUGAUCCAGCCAUGCCGCGUGUGUGAAGAAGGCCUUCGGGUUGUAAAGCACUUUCAGCAGUGAGGAAAGGCGAGUGGUUAAUACCCGCUUGCUGUGACGUUAACUGCAGAAGAAGCACCGGCUAACUCCGUGCCAGCAGCCGCGGUAAUACGGAGGGUGCAAGCGUUAAUCGGAAUUACUGGGCGUAAAGCGCGCGUAGGUGGUUCAGUCAGAUGUGAAAGCCCCGGGCUCAACCUGGGAAUUGCACCUGAUACUGCUGAGCUAGAGUACGGUAGAGGGUAGUGGAAUUUCCGGUGUAGCGGUGAAAUGCGUAGAGAUCGGAAGGAACACCAGUGGCGAAGGCGACUACCUGGACCGAUACUGACACUGAGGUGCGAAAGCGUGGGUAGCAAACAGGAUUAGAUACCCCGGUAGUC